CCAUAAUGGCUCUGAAUUCACUAAAUAUUUCAGGCAAGCUUUGAAUCUGAUGAACACACACACACACACACACACACACACACACACACACACACACACACACGCUUCUCUCAAGUAGUUGGGAUUUCAGCCUGCAUCACUAGGCUCAGCUGUAAUACACUCUGUAGUAUGAACUAUUCGUGAGAGUUCCCAACAAGGAGGCCCAGAAAAUGUUACAAAUGGCCAAAGCCUGAAGACACUGUUCUUCAUAACUGAGUCAGCCUUAUCAAUCCUCAACCUGCUCAGGGAUAACCGGGUCACCAGCUUGGCUCUCCCCACUGCCCAGGAUACACUGGUAUACACUCUAGCCCUGGGAGCACGUGCCAAUGUAGGGAAGACAGAGUAAACCGGAAAGCAGCAGAGCCUUGAAGGAAAGAGCAGUUGGAUUUUGGAAACCGCAGGGAGAAAACGACCGUUAAAAGGUAUACCUAUUUAUGUUAGUUCAUUCUGGUUUGGUGUUCUGGCCGUUUUCCUUAAUGAUUGUGCCACAGGGAACAUUCUCUGACAUGAGAUCCUGAAAGGGGAAAUCCCUGGUUCUUGAUUCAACCUUUCGUUCCAUACAGCAGUGGCACUAAAGGGAUGUUUUCAGGCGAGAAACAGCAGCAUAUAGGAAUGUGUUAGGAAUAAAAUUCCCAGGCUCUAACGUAGACUUACCAAGUCAAAUCUUUGUGGCGGAGCCCGGCAAUGCUUUUAACAGUCCUAGUGAGUCCAAUGCAUGAGAGCCCUUGCUCCAAGAUGUUUGAUGUUUGAAAACCCCAAAUAAGAAGCAUGUACAGUCUAAUUCAAAUGAUAGCAUUUCAAAGUCACUUUUCUCGUACUUAGGUUUCUGGGAGUUCACAGUGAAAAUAUGUGCUUUGGGGUGGAAGUCAGGGAAGCUCUGCAGCUUCCUGUUUGAGUGCAGCCUCUAGUAGGAGACGUCCCGCCUCUGAAACUUCAACCUGGCAAACUACCGGGCUUCAAGGGGGGAAUCAUGUUGGAGGUCUCAUCCAAAUUGCUGUUCCGAAGGAUUCUUUUUCUGAUUAUAGUGUAAGAAGAGUAAAAUAAAAAUCUAAUUUGCAUUUCUAUGAUGAAAUGUUCUCCUGGC
Molecule: long non-coding RNA, 1123 nt
Filed under: Rattus norvegicus (Norway rat)
Lineage: Eukaryota; Metazoa; Chordata; Mammalia; Rodentia; Muridae
Description: long non-coding RNA NONRATT008751
Source: RNAcentral